CAUCCACAGUCAGGAAGUGGAGAGAGAUGAGGGAUGCUGUUCGGCUCACUUCCUCUUUUUUUAUUCCAUCUCGUUCCAUGGCCCAUGGGACGGUGCUGUCCACAGUGAGGGUGCUUCUUCCCCUUCCAUUCAUCUAAUCUAGAAAAAUCCCUCAUUCUAGCUGCUGUGAAGUUGUCAGUAUCAACAUUAAGCAUCAUAGGAAGUUAGGUCUUCAGGAAGUACGUCAGCUAUAGAGUCCCCAUGAAUGGGAUUCCUUUCCUCUUAAAGAGGCCAGGGAGAGAUGGCUCUCCCCUCUGAGGACGGAAAGAACACAGCAGGAAGGCACCCCCUACAAACUAGAAACCUCAGCACUGACUCUGCUUUGGGCUUCUCCAUCUCAGAAGGAAGUAGCCUGACUGGGACAUAUGACCUCAAAAGGACUGAGAGGAAGCCUGGUAGCAGGAUGAGCUGCCUACUUUUCUGAGUCACCUUAGGACAAAUGAGUCUCCAACAUGAGGAGGCAGGAACAAGAACACCUUAGCAUCCUCCAUGAACAUGUGCAGAUGGGAAGAUAUGACCAAAAGAGGCCAGCACUGCUGUACUCAUCAGACUCUGAUCAUGGAAAGCACAUUUCCAUCAUUGUCAUCUGUAGGCUAGCAUGAUGCCAGACAACCUCAUCCAAAUUCAAGCCUGCCAUUCAUGAGUUUGGAACCAAUGACUUGGGAUCACUGUGAGUCAGUUUGUGCCUCUAUAUAAUGGAACAGUGAUACUUCUAUAUAGUGGGAUAGGUGGCACAUCUCAUAUGGAGCACUGUGAAAUA
Molecule: long non-coding RNA, 799 nt
Organism: Peromyscus maniculatus bairdii (prairie deer mouse)
Lineage: Eukaryota; Metazoa; Chordata; Mammalia; Rodentia; Cricetidae
Source: RefSeq, a predicted model, not a curated record